CUUGGACGUCAAUUUGCUCAAAUUCCUCUUCAGCAUGAGGCUGCUCUUCUUUCAACAGCAAACAAGCUGACACUGAAUCGACAGCGCAUCCGCUGAUUGCAGCCAGGUCCUUUCCAGACACUUUUAAUCACCUAAUCAAUUGUACGCAAUCAACGGAAUUGUUAAUGACCAAUUAAUUAUCGAAUCGAUUACAAUGGCAUCACCGUUUAGGAUACAGUGGGACCAUCCAAGUCUAACUAAAUCCAUUCUUGUAAUCUCUAAAUCUGAGUUACCUGCACGAAAUAACUAAAUCACAACUUAGAUGUGUCUGUAAAUAUUCCCCCAUCCAGGUAAUUUCAUCCACAGGGCAUUGAAUCGAUCGUAGCUGAACGAUUCUGCUCAUGUUAAAAGAUCCUCCACCUCUGAUCCGAACAAGCUUUUAUUCACAUAGACUAGUUGGGAGAUCUCUAGGCUGAGGUUUGGUGCGGAAACCCAACGAUUUAUCUUGAAAGAUAGAGGAGGCUGCGGACCGAUGGUUGGGGGACCUCUGCUUCAGAUGCUCUUUAUAGGUCUCAUGAGAUUGGCUUGACAUCUCACCAAUCAUGUUUGGGGGUAUUUCACUUGAGAUGUUCCACUGUAGCAUUAGUGAACAUGUACAUUUGCGUAAUGGAACGCGAGCUGCGGCCACAACUUCACACCAGACGGGCUGAACAUUCUCAACAAGCAACACCUAACAUAGGUGAUUAAAAAAGACCAACCAAGGAACAUAUACAUUAAUAUUCACUUGUUGUUGACCAGAAUUUCUUACUUUAGACAACAUCACCGAGCCGUGAGAUGUGCACACUAUUAUUUUUUAAGAUGUGCAAUGCACCUGAAAAAUGUGAGAAAUAAUUACAAGUCCUUAAAAGAAAACAACCAAAACAAACAAACAAACAAAAACAUAUUUACUUGAAUACAGAGACCCCCAGCCUCAUGCCGGCUCACUAACUGCUCAGAACAUGAAAAAAGUAAGAAAAAUACAUAAAAAAAAUAAAAUAACCGUUGGCCUUAUAUGCACUGAUUUUCUUUUGUAACUGUACAUCCGUAAUGCAAAUUUAUAAAACAAUGAGGGUUUUUUUCCCUACCUUUUUCAAGUACACAUACAAAUGGGUGAAAAUCUGCAUUGUGCAAUACACAUCAAGGUCUCCCCACUGAGACAAAUUUUCAUCUGAACACAUUAUCGCCCCCAUUAAAUCUUUGGGAAAUUGGUAGCAAGGCACAGACUUUAUUUACGGUUACUUCAGGGCGAUUCUGAGCUUGUGGGGUCUCUUAAAAUCCGUAACAAAAAGUUCACAGCUUGUGACAUGAAAUUUAGACGCGCCUUGUUUUCAGAUCAUCUUUGGACCUUCUUUGAUGCACCCCUGCUUAGUGUCAAUGCACAUGUGCGAUUUGCCACUGCAAAAGAAACUUCGUUGUUCUUGCGGAUUCAUAAAACCGUUCAGUUAUUUGAGGCUAUUCGGCAGUGGGGAAGCUUAAAAGCUGAGUGUAUCCAAGGCAAUGAAGGUUUGAAAGAAUGAUGGACUUGUGACCAUCAGAUGGAAAGAAAAAAAAAGAAGAAAUUUACUAAUAUUUUGUGAGUGAUAGAAGGAGAUAGGCAGUAAUGACUGUUCAUGACAUUAAAUAAUGCGCUCUAAAAUCUGCCAUUGCCAUCAUUAACCUUAAUGUUGCAGUCUUGUAUUUUACAGUUCAGGCCCGCUGUAAAUCAGUUUUUUUUUUCCCCAUCCCCUCUCAACAGCUGUUGCGAGCAGGGUUGAUAACAGCACGCCCACGCUGAUUAAAUUGCAAUCGAUUGCAGCAAAAUGUCAGGAAAUUCAAGGAUCUGCUACCAUUCGAUGUGCAUCUGUGGAAAGUUGAAGUUUGCAGGUGCCGACUCCUCGGCCGUGACCAGUCGAUGAGAGUCAAGAGGAUUGAAGACCUCUAUAGGGCACGGAACCGUAUUUUUGAUACGUGAGAGCUGAACAAUCAGCGAGACAGGAAGAUGCUGUGCUUAUUUCCAUGGCAGCCAUCAGCACUGAAGAGAAGCUCGCCAAUGAUACUGAUGAAGAGAUGUGCGUGCUUGGAAUCUCCAGGACAUCACACAGAGGUAUUGCCAUUGUUCUCUUCUGCUUCGCCCUGUUGAAGUCAUCGUGCCACAUAAAGUCCUUUUUUUUUUUGGGCCAACAAUAGGAGGGGACAUGUUUAUAUUUAUCCCGUAUAAAUUAAUUGUUAUUUUUUUGUGAUGAACACGUCGUACUUUAAUAAAUAAUCAACUGUGUUUGGCGACAUAAAUCAUAGCUCAGAUUUAUCACGUCUUUGAUUACAAGUAGAGGAGGAAGGUCAGGAUGAAGCCAGGAUGCUUUCAUCCUUCAUUCCUGCCAUUGGCUUGGUUUUUUUUUUGGUUGUUUUUGUUCAUUCUUAGUUCAUCUCUGAAUAAAAUAAGAACAAAAGUGAACAUGAAGUGACAAAAGUGUGCCAUGACUUUAAUAUUCACGUAAAUAAACCAAGCAUGGACAUCUUUUACAUUUGAUUGGGUAAUGUGGACAGAGCGGCGGAAAACAAAGAAUGUGGCCGUCUGUGAUCAAGAGAAUGAGAAAACGCCUAGCAACAUACCCGCACUGCAUCUGCCGUCUGCGAGAAGGAAUAAAUAUUCAGGGUGCAUGAUAGUAGGAGCUUCACAGGUGCAUAUAUUACCUGUAUCAAAGCAGCCAGGAGACUGGAGGAAUGGUAAAGGUAAAGAUAGAAAAGCAACGCUUCUUAACCCGCAAGCUUUUUGUCCUCAAGUAAAAAAUAACUAAAUCAACAAUCAAAUUGACAUGCUUAUUAAAUCAACAACAUUGACAUUUUGUAAUUUCGUUCAUACACACACAUACACACACAAAUGACACGACACAAAUCACUGAACCUAACGUAUUUUUGACAUAUAAUGCCGUCAAUGGCAGUGAAUGGGAUAUCAAGUGUCAGCGUUUAAGAAAUUACAAUGUGAAUGCCAAUCGUAGCCCCCAGUUUCAUCUUUUCACAUGAAAUGGUUUCGAGUAUUUCUCUCUUGAUGAAAAGUUGGAAUAGAUCAGAACCAAAAUAACACUUCUUGCGUGUGAUCGUGACUCAUUUGUGACGUGAGAAGAAUCAAAAGCAAAAUCGUGAAGCAAGCAAACACGCACUUGUUAACUGGGAAGGGGUUCUCAAAAAGGAAUGUUUUUCUAUUCCCACCCCGACAUGCUAGUCCAGGGGUGUCAAACUCAUUCUUGUCACGGGCUGUGCAUCUUCCUUCGGUGGGCCGAAACGACGAUACAACGGUGAAACAGAAUAAAUGUUUAUAUUAUAUUAUAUUAUUACUUGUACACAACUAAUUGAUGUAUUACCAAUUUUUGAAAACAGUCACAUUUUAGUAAUUUGUUCAAUUAUUGUUUGAGUGGGUGUUAACAGGGAACCUAAAUUAUUACAAAAAUCUCAACAUUAUUUAUUAUACAUGACCAUUUGACAUUUUGGUGCAAUUUUAGCAAGGAUCAUGGAGAUUGACGCAUCUGAUUUGCUUUCGCGGGCCACAUAAAAUGAUGUGGCAGGCCAGAUCUGGCCCACGGGCCUUGACUUUGACACCAGUGUGCUCGUCUAAUAUCAUCGUCUUUUACUGCUGUAAAUUAUUUUAUCGGUGUCGGACUGAAACAUGUCAUGUCAAAAAUGUUCUUUUUUUAAUUUUUCACAAAUUUAAACUAUUGGUCAGUGUAUGUGCUUUAAACUGUUUAAAAAAGGUCUUGUGCUCUUUAAUGACACAUUAGUAAUGCCUUUUUGUUUGGUCUCCUGAAAAGUGAUGAUUUUUUUGUUGUUGUUUUUUUGCGGUGGAAGGAUUUUGCCUCAUACCUGCGAUUGAUAAAAUAAAAUGAAUAGAAGGAGGGCUGCUGUUUGACCUAAGGAUGAAUAAAUUCCAUUUAUAUGACAUUCGACCGGAAUAAUUGAUUCAAACCUCGAACAAAUCGGAUCGUGUUUACCGACUGAAGUUUGGGCGGGCAACCGCAGUAAAUUCUUACGCUUUAGGCAUCGUUUAUCUAAUCGAGGUUUACCUUUUCAACCUGCGAAAAGGAAACACAGAAUCGCGGCUCUCUUUUAAUAAACGCAAUGCGCCACCUUAUCUCACUUAUACAGCGGGAUCCACGAAAUUCCUCGCACGGCGCCGUAGCGCAUGUAAAUAUACAGUGGGCGCCAAUGUGCAAGACAUCUCUUUCAAUAUCUCUCUGUAUGAUUGGCCUUAGAACUCUGCACUGAAUCACAUUUAAGAAAUGUACUGCAAAAAUUGUGAUUGAAUUUACACCCCCUACGGAGACAAGUGUGGUCUUCCAUAAUUCCCCACGGUGCACACACACAAGGGAGGAGGGGGGCGGAGGGAUUCACAAUCUCGCUCUUUCUUUCUCUUCCUCUGGCAGCCAACAGAGUGUUGCUGCUGUCCCUGCCCUCCCCGAGCCGACAACGUCCAAGCACUUCAUAGCAAUGUAAAUGGUGUGGAAAGUUGCGCGUAGGGAGCUGAUGACCAGAGCCGUUCUCCUCUAAGGCUCGUACGAGCAAAUGAAAGCCAUCGCCUCCUCGCUCGAGCCCGCCGUUAGCCUUUAUCUCACCUGCGAGGCUUGGCUCUCAUAUUUGCUGUUUGUCUCCACUCCCGCUAAAUAUAUCAAUCCCGAGCAGGUCGGGUGGGUCGCGGCAGCCUGGCAAUCAUCUGCGAUUGCACUCUUGGCAGUCGUUUCAGUCGUAAUUAAACUUUAAUAUACCUAUUUUUAGUUGUAAAACCGACCAAUAAUAACUUAGAAGCACUUUGAGGGGCGAGAGGUGGAAGCACACCCGCCACAAAUACCUGUGAGCAUCUGUCACGCUGUCAUGUUAAGUCAAGGCAUGCGUGAAAGCGCGUUCAAAUGGAGGCCUGAUCAAAAGAGACGCAGGCAGACAAACACUUUGCCAUGCGUAUGAGUUUGUUUGAUGCCUAAAUCAGAUGCGGCAUUUUUGAACAUUCCCCCUUCACACAUCGGACCCUUUUAUCCUUUAAAGCUCGCUUUUACCUGGCACUCUGCGACACCGGCUCAAGGCACCUGCCAUGUAAAGCCAGCGGCAGCCGCAAUCUCAAUCAAAAUGGAAAAAAAAAAAAAAAAAGAA
Long non-coding RNA from Hippocampus zosterae (dwarf seahorse), 5130 nucleotides. RefSeq lists it as uncharacterized. Lineage: Eukaryota; Metazoa; Chordata; Actinopteri; Syngnathiformes; Syngnathidae. The record is from RefSeq and is a predicted model, not a curated record. The transcript has 3 exons.